Molecule: ribosomal RNA, 497 nt
Filed under: uncultured bacterium
Lineage: Bacteria
Description: partial 16S ribosomal RNA
Rfam family: Bacterial small subunit ribosomal RNA
Source: RNAcentral
GAUGAACGCUGGCGGCGUGCCUAAUACAUGCAAGUCGAGCGAACGGACGAUAAGCUUGCUUCUCUGAUGUUAGCGGCGGACGGGUGAGUAACACGUGGAUAACCUACCUAUAUGACUGGGAUAACUUCGGGAAACCGUAGCUAAUACCGGAUAAUAUUUUGAACCGCAGGGUUCAAAAGUGAAAGACGGUCUUGCUGUCACUUAUAGAUGGUUCCGCGCUGCAUUAGCUAGUUGGUAAGGUAACGGCUUACCAAGGCAACGAUGCAUAGCCGACCUGAGAGGGUGAUAGGCCACACUGGAACUGAGACACGGUCCAGACUCCUAAGGGAGGCAGCAGUAGGGAAUCUUGCGCAAUGGGCGAAAGCCUGACGGAGCAACGCCGCGUGAGUGAUGAAGGUCUUCGGAUCGUAAAGCUCUGUUAUUAGGGAAGAACAUAUGUGUAAGUAACUGUGCACAUCUUGACGGUACCUAAUCAGAAAGCAACGGCUAACUACGUG